RNAcentral lists this non-coding RNA (28 nucleotides) under Cricetulus griseus (Chinese hamster). The record is from RNAcentral. Lineage: Eukaryota; Metazoa; Chordata; Mammalia; Rodentia; Cricetidae.
UCUAAAUUCCGUUUAUGUCUACCGUCCC